AACGAACGCUGGCGGCAGGCCUAACACAUGCAAGUCGAGCGCUGUAGCAAUACAGAGCGGCGCACGGGUGAGUAACACGUGGGAACGUGCCCUUUGGUUCGGAAUAACUCAGGGAAACUUGAGCUAAUACCGGAUGAGCCCUAACGGGGAAAGAUUUAUCGCCGAAGGAGCGGCCCGCGUCGGAUUAGCUAGUUGGUGGGGUAAUAGCCUACCAAGGCAACGAUCCGUAGCUGGUUUGAGAGAACGACCAGCCACACUGGGACUGAGACACGGCCCAGGCUCCUACGGGAGGCAGCAGUGGGGAAUCUUUGACAAUGGGGGAAACCCUGAUCCAGCCAUGCCGCGUGAGUGAUGAAGGCCCUAGGGUUGUAAAACUCUUUCGGCGGGGACGAUAAUGACGGUACCCGGAGAAGAAGCCCCGGCUAACUUCGUGCCAGCAGCCGCAGUAA
RNAcentral lists this ribosomal RNA (449 nucleotides) under uncultured bacterium. Its description in RNAcentral is "partial 16S ribosomal RNA". It matches the Rfam family "Bacterial small subunit ribosomal RNA", at positions 29 to 523 of the family's 1533-position model. The record is from RNAcentral.